AUGAACGCUGGCGGCGUGCCUAAUACAUGCAAGUCGAGCGAACGGACGAGAAGCUUGCUUCUCUGAUGUUAGCGGCGGACGGGUGAGUAACACGUGGAUAACCUACCUAUAAGACUGGGAUAACUUCGGGAAACCGGAGCUAAUACCGGAUAAUAUUUUGAACCGCAUGGUUCAAAAGUGAAAGACGGUCUUGCUGUCACUUAUAGAUGGAUCCGCGCUGCAUUAGCUAGUUGGUAAGGUAACGGCUUACCAAGGCAAUGAUGCAUAGCCGACCUGAGAGGGUGAUCGGCCACACUGGAACUGAGACACGGUCCAGACUCCUACGGGAGGCAGCAGUAGGGAAUCUUCCGCAAUGGGCGAAAGCCUGACGGAGCAACGCCGCGUGAGUGAUGAAGGUCUUCGGAUCGUAAAACUCUGUUAUUAGGGAAGAACAUAUGUGUAAGUAACUGUGCACAUCUUGACGGUACCUAAUCAGAAAGCCACGGCUAACUACGUG
This 496-nucleotide ribosomal RNA is filed under the name uncultured bacterium. RNAcentral's name for it is "partial 16S ribosomal RNA". It matches the Rfam family "Bacterial small subunit ribosomal RNA", at positions 29 to 507 of the family's 1533-position model. The record is from RNAcentral.